This 75-nucleotide transfer RNA is filed under the name Microbacterium sp. XT11. Its description in RNAcentral is "tRNA-Thr". It matches the Rfam family "tRNA". Rfam says of the family: Transfer RNA (tRNA) molecules are approximately 80 nucleotides in length. Their secondary structure includes four short double-helical elements and three loops (D, anti-codon, and T loops). Further hydrogen bonds mediate the characteristic L-shaped molecular structure. tRNAs have two regions of fundamental functional importance: the anti-codon, which is responsible for specific mRNA codon recognition, and the 3' end, to which the tRNAs corresponding amino acid is attached (by aminoacyl-tRNA synthetases). tRNAs cope with the degeneracy of the genetic code in two manners: having more than one tRNA (with a specific anti-codon) for a particular amino acid; and 'wobble' base-pairing, i.e. permitting non-standard base-pairing at the 3rd anti-codon position. The record is from RNAcentral. Lineage: Bacteria; Bacillati; Actinomycetota; Actinomycetes; Micrococcales; Microbacteriaceae.
GCCCCGAUAGCUCAGUGGUAGAGCAUCUCACUCGUAAUGAGAAGGCCGUCAGUUCGAUCCUGACUCGGGGCUCCA